Molecule: non-coding RNA, 76 nt
Organism: Oncorhynchus nerka (sockeye salmon)
Lineage: Eukaryota; Metazoa; Chordata; Actinopteri; Salmoniformes; Salmonidae
Source: the annotation of a RefSeq genome assembly
GGUCCCGUGUGGCUCAGUUGGUAGAGCGUGGUGCUUGCAAUGCCAGGGUUCUGGGUUCAAAUCCCAUGUGGGACCA